Long non-coding RNA from Etheostoma cragini (Arkansas darter), 2076 nucleotides. RefSeq lists it as uncharacterized. The record is from RefSeq and is a predicted model, not a curated record. The transcript has 2 exons. NCBI's taxonomy places the organism in Eukaryota, Metazoa, Chordata, Actinopteri, Perciformes, Percidae.
AUAUAUAUAUAUAUAUAUAUAUAUUAGCGUGUAGUUCUUAGAUGUUGUGUUUUUAUCUGACAGCAAAUGUGUGUCUGAACAGAAUGAAACGUACUGUAUGUGUUACAAUACUUGAACCACUGAUCUACACAGGGUAAAACAACAUACAGGACUGCUGACCAAAGCUUUAUUCAUCUACAUCAGGAGAACAACUCUGGGACAAGAGCAUUUCUCUGAUCCAUCUUCUUUUCCGUUCUUCCACAAAAUGACCCAAGCACUCCGCCAUAGUCAUUUAAAUACCCCGUCAUUGAACUGUUUGUAUUUAUGCUUGAUGAAUAGUGAAAUUGAGGCGAUGUUACUUCCGUGUACAGGCACUCGUUUACACAUUCUGUUUAAUUUGAAAGAUUGACUGAAACAGUCUGAUGAUGUGGACCACUGUAUUGAUGUUUGACUGUUGACUCGCUUAAUUUUUCUUUUGAAGAAGAUGUGUGAAAAUGACAUUAGUGAUGUUGAAAUAGUAAUGAGGCUUAGUUAGCGAAGUAUGGAGAAAAAAAAAAAAAGUGCUGCACCACCAAGAAGGCCCACUUGGUCUCUGGUGCUUCUGUUACUUAGUUUUGCUUCUUGUUUUCUGCUUCAGCACUUGUUGGGGCAAAAGAUGAAAAGACUUGGGCAGUGCGGAGGAAAUACUUUGAAGGCUAUGGUACCACUUCAUUUUUCCAUUCCGUUGCAACGGCGUUCGACUUCCACAUUAAAAAGACAGUGAUGAAGGACGAGGGUGGAGGUUGAGAAGGAAAGAGGUGGAGGGAGAGAUUGACCAAACAUAACUGUUCACUGUGCCUUGUCGGCCCCUCUCCCAUACUGAAAAUGAUGCCUUUUGUCUUUCAAAUCAAUAUAUUUAAAUAUACAUUUUGACAACAAUCAUUUAAGAUGUAUUUUGAACUUACAAAAUAUGAAUAUGCUCAUUGGCUUUCUUUCCCAGACUGAGAUGAAAAGAUUCAUACCAAUCUCAUGUCAGAACGUUUAGCCAAGCUGGCAUGAAAAAGGAAAGAGCUAGCCUGGUUGAGUCAACCAACUGUCUAAAGCUGACUAAGCAAUCUUAGUUAACCUUUACAUAAUGUAAACGUAUAUUGUGGUUUUAGAAAGAGUGGACCGAACUAAAACUCCUUACUUCAGUUUUUCACUUUGCCUCACCACUGCUGUCAGUCUUUAUGCUAAGCUGAGCUAAGGUAACUGCGUCCUGAUUCCAGCUCUGCUCUUAACAUACAGACGUAAGACACGUAUUAACUCACUCUCUAAAACAAAAAAGGAAAGUAACAUUUUCUUUUUUCAAAUAACAAAUACUGCACCUACAAGCAACACAUAGCUAGCUAAUUUAUACCUUAUGUAUUAUCACAUUUGUUUUACUUUUGAACAAAGCCAGGCUAGCUGUUAUGCAUGCAUCUUUCUGCUGAGCUAACCGUAGCUUAGCUCUAGGUUAAAAUUUAGCGGCAGACAUGGGAGUGGUAUCAAUUUUCUCAUCCAAUGCUGUGAAUUUCCCAAAACUGUUUCUAUUAAAACAUAAAUAGAUAAAUUAGGAGCCCACGACAUGUUUGGGAUAUUCUAAAAGGCAUUUCCAAAUCUAUUCUAAGUGUUUGGAAACUGACUUAUUUUUCAGUAUGGGCCGCACCCUCCAAUGUGACACCACCUCAGACCCAUAUAGACACACCAAUGCACAACCUUUAUACUUCCCCUCGUGUCCCAUUUUUGAUCACUCUCCACACCGCAACACUCAAGUUACUGCAAGUUCCUCAUUCCUCCAGUUCUCUCCAGCUUCCUCACCUGCUGGGUUCACUUUGAUUAAAGUACAUUUCAGAGAAGGCGCAUAGGACAUAAAAAACAACCUUCACACAGAUUAAAGAAGAAAGGAAAAAAAUAUCUUAAAGAGUUUUAAUACUUUAUGAAUUCUGAUACCUUUUUAAGAGUUUCAGACUUGAAGCUGCUGUGACAGGUUUUGGCUGUUUCACGCCCGUGUAAAUAUCCUGCUCUUUCCUAUUUUGCAGAUUUAUUACGUGUAAAUAGACACGCAUCAAGGAGAGAUUAAACAUGUUUUUUGCUAAA